UCCGUAGGUGAACCUGCGGAAGGAUCAUUAGUGAAUAUAGGAUGUCCAACUUAACUUGGAGUCCGAACUCUCACUUUCUAACCCUGUGCAUUUGUUUGGGAUAGUAGCCUCUCGGGGUGAACUCCUAUUCACUUAUAAACACAAAGUCUAUGAAUGUAUUUAAUUUAUAACAAAAUAAAACUUUCAACAACGGAUCUCUUGGCUCUCGCAUCGAUGAAGAACGCAGCGAAAUGCGAUAAGUAAUGUGAAUUGCAGAAUUCAGUGAAUCAUCGAAUCUUUGAACGCACCUUGCGCUCCAUGGUAUUCCGUGGAGCAUGCCUGUUUGAGUGUCAUGAAUACUUCAACCCUCCUCUUUUCUAGUGAAAGAGAAGGUGCUUGGUUUCUGAGCGUUUUGCUGGCCUCACGGUCGAGCUCGCUCGUAAUGCAUUAGCAUCCGCAAUCGAACUUCGGAUUGACUUGGCGUAAUAGACUAUUCGCUGAGGAAUUCUAAUCUUCGGAUUAGAGCCGGGUUAGGUUAAAGGAAGCUUCUAAUCCUAAUGUCUAUAUUUUAAGAUUAGAUCUCAAAUCAGGUAGGACUACCCGCUGAACUUAAGCAUAUCAAUAAGCGGAGGAAAAGAAACUAACAAGGAUUCCCCUAGUAGCGGCGAGCGAAGCGGGAAGAGCUCAAAUUUAUAAUCUGGCACCUUCGGUGUCCGAGUUGUAAUCUCUAGAAGUGUUUUCCGCGUUGGACCGCGCAUAAGUCUGUUGGAAUACAGCGGCACAGUGGUGAGACCCCCGUAUGUGGUGCGGACGCCCAGCGCUUUGUGAUACACUUUCGAAGAGUCGAGUUGUUUGGGAAUGCAGCUCAAAUUGGGUGGUAAAUUCCAUCUAAAGCUAAAUAUUGGCGAGAGACCGAUAGCGAACAAGUACCGUGAGGGAAAGAUGAAAAGCACUUUGGAAAGAGAGUUAACAGUACGUGAAAUUGUUGGAAGGGAAACGCUUGAAGUAAUCUAGAUGCAU
RNAcentral lists this ribosomal RNA (999 nucleotides) under uncultured fungus. RNAcentral's name for it is "eukaryotic LSU rRNA". The stretch from base 556 to 999 matches the Rfam family "Eukaryotic large subunit ribosomal RNA", at positions 1 to 442 of the family's 3401-position model. Lineage: Eukaryota; Fungi. The record is from RNAcentral.